UCAGAAACAGGCCCCUGUGAGGCAAUGGUUGUGAUGGAAACCAGGUCUGUGGGGUCACUCACAACUCUGACAAGAGAGACUCUCUCUUUCUGGAUUCCUUCUGCUUUCAGCGGUUACUCCAGCUCUUCCGUCUCUGGAAUGUGACUACACUUGAGCCAGACCUGAUUGUAGGGAGAAAGACCAGGCAGGGGGAAGCCAGCUCCCUAUGUGCACCUUCCUGAUCGUCAUGCCAUGCCAUGGCUCUUAUAAAAGACUGGGGCCCCUCCCGCACCCCCUGCCCAGUGUAUAUUAAACUAUCCUACUACUUCUCUCCUUUUCUUUCUACACUUCAUCACUCCUUGCCUUCAGGACAUCUAGUCUAGCCAGCUUGGGGUCCCUGCUCUUCUGACUAGCCAGUGUGGAGCACCGUUCAAUAGGAGAAUUGUAACCACCCUCGAACUUGCAUUACGGGGACAGGGUAGAAGAAACAGAUCUGGUGUUUCAUGCAGAAAACCAGAUUUCUAGCACUGGAGAACACGUGGAAGACUCCAACUGGGCAAGGAAGAGAGCUGCAGAUCCUAAACCCAGACUCCUGAGCCAUCUGUAUCCAGAUCCCAACUGCGAUCACCAUGGUGCACAGAGCCUCUGAGACAAACGAAGCAGCAUUCGGGGAGACUAGAGCAUCAGGGACGGAAAAUUCAUUCCCGAUCCAAUGAGUCUUAUUUCAUUGCUUCAGAAUGGGUAUAACCCAGAUAAAGUGGAGGUGUAUCUGGUUGGAAGGGGGAAAAGAAGAAAUCAGUGGACAUUAUGGCUGCUUUGC
Long non-coding RNA from Mauremys mutica (yellowpond turtle), 799 nucleotides. RefSeq lists it as uncharacterized. Lineage: Eukaryota; Metazoa; Chordata; Testudines; Geoemydidae. The transcript is spliced from 3 exons. The record is from RefSeq and is a predicted model, not a curated record.